UCCGCUACCUAAGUCAAAGAACAUAGCAUCCCGUUUUAGUUUGUUAGUACCAAUUCAAUUGAUAAUUCACACAAACUGCAUAUAAAUAUAACAUACUCCAAGGUUGCAAAAAUAUAUAUAUAGUCUUUGUUUGGUUCAUACCAUCUCUAGCACUUGUCCUAAUUUGUAAGUGACUGCAAGAAAAAUGAAGGGUAACUCUAUUAUAAUGGCACUAAUCAAUGAAACUUGUGUCAUAAUUUUCCUCCUCUUGGUCUCUUAUUCUAUGAAUGUUGAAGGCAUGAGAGCUAUCAAAGAUCAAUCUCCUUCUUUCAUAAAUCUAAUAAUCAGCCAAGCUUAUUCUGGACCAAGUCGCAAAGGACGUGGUCACUGAAAUUUAAAGUUGCUUUCAUGCUAAUUUUCAUUUUAUUUUUCUCUAUAGUUACGGACAUGUUCCUUGUGUUUCAAAAUAUAAGUCAAGUAGAUGUAUUUUAUACUUUAUUGUUUGUUUAUAUUUUGAGACGGAAGUAGGACAUACAUACUACAAAUAAAUAUAUAUAUUAUCUUUUGUUGUUGAUAAUUUUGUUAAAUACUGUAGGGUUGCCUGCCCAUUUAAUGUCACUCAUUUAUGCAAGGGUUCUACAA
This 621-nucleotide long non-coding RNA is filed under the name Cicer arietinum (chickpea). RNAcentral describes it as "long non-coding RNA (CARI_LNC001071)". The record is from RNAcentral. Lineage: Eukaryota; Viridiplantae; Streptophyta; Magnoliopsida; Fabales; Fabaceae.